CCUACGGGAGGCAGCAGUGAGGAAUCUUGGUCAAUGGACGAGAGUCUGAACCAGCCAAGUAGCGUGAAGGGUGACUGCCCUAUGGGUUGUAAACUUCUUUUAUAAAGGAAUAAAACGAGGCACGUGUGCCUUUUUUCAUGGACUUUAUGAAUAAGGAUCGGCUAACUCAGUGCCAGCAGCGGCGGUAAUACGGAGGAACCGAGCGUUAUCCGGAUUUAUUGGGUUUAAAGGGAGCGUAGAUGGGUUGUUAAGUCAGUUGUGAAAGUUUGCGGCUCAACCGUAAAAUUGCAAUUGAUACUGGCAGUCUUGAGUACAGUUGAGGUAAGCGGAAUGCGUGGUGUAGCGGUGAAAUGCUUAGAUAUCACGAAGAACCCCGAUUGCGAAGGCAGCUUACUAAACUGUGACUGACAUUGAUGCUCGAAAGUGUGGGUAUCAAACAGGAUUAGAUACCCGAGUAGUC
Molecule: ribosomal RNA, 460 nt
Filed under: uncultured bacterium
Lineage: Bacteria
Description: partial 16S ribosomal RNA
Rfam family: Bacterial small subunit ribosomal RNA
Source: RNAcentral